UGGCUCAGUUGGUUGAGCGUCUGACUUCAGCUCAGGUCAUGAUCUCAUAGUUUGUGGGUUCGAGCCCCAC
This 70-nucleotide transfer RNA is filed under the name Felis catus (domestic cat). It matches the Rfam family "tRNA", at positions 8 to 63 of the family's 71-position model. Rfam says of the family: Transfer RNA (tRNA) molecules are approximately 80 nucleotides in length. Their secondary structure includes four short double-helical elements and three loops (D, anti-codon, and T loops). Further hydrogen bonds mediate the characteristic L-shaped molecular structure. tRNAs have two regions of fundamental functional importance: the anti-codon, which is responsible for specific mRNA codon recognition, and the 3' end, to which the tRNAs corresponding amino acid is attached (by aminoacyl-tRNA synthetases). tRNAs cope with the degeneracy of the genetic code in two manners: having more than one tRNA (with a specific anti-codon) for a particular amino acid; and 'wobble' base-pairing, i.e. permitting non-standard base-pairing at the 3rd anti-codon position. The record is from Rfam by way of RNAcentral. Lineage: Eukaryota; Metazoa; Chordata; Mammalia; Carnivora; Felidae.